RNAcentral lists this ribosomal RNA (31 nucleotides) under Garcinia morella. Its description in RNAcentral is "partial 28S ribosomal RNA". Lineage: Eukaryota; Viridiplantae; Streptophyta; Magnoliopsida; Malpighiales; Clusiaceae. The record is from RNAcentral.
ACUACCCGCUGAGUUUAAUCAUAUCAAUACC